GACGGAGGAGGCAAGCACUAUCCGGAAUUAUUGGGCGUAAAGGGUACGUAGGCGGCUGGUCAAGUCUGGGGUUAAAGGCCACAGCUCAACUGUGGGAAGGCCCUGGAAACUGACCGGCUAGAGUGAGGUAAGGGUUGCGGGAAUUCCCGGUGUAGCGGUGAAAUGCGUAGAGAUCGGGAAGAACACCUGAGGCGGAAGCGCGCAACUGGGCCUCAACUGACGCUGAGGUAAGAAAGCUAGGGGAGCGAAUGGG
Molecule: ribosomal RNA, 253 nt
Filed under: uncultured bacterium
Lineage: Bacteria
Description: partial 16S ribosomal RNA
Rfam family: Bacterial small subunit ribosomal RNA
Source: RNAcentral